RNAcentral lists this ribosomal RNA (875 nucleotides) under uncultured fungus. Its description in RNAcentral is "SSU rRNA". It matches the Rfam family "Eukaryotic small subunit ribosomal RNA", at positions 564 to 1441 of the family's 1831-position model. The record is from RNAcentral. Lineage: Eukaryota; Fungi.
GUGCCAGCAGCCGCGGUAAUUCCAGCUCCAAUAGCGUAUAUUAAAGUUGUUGUGGUUAAAAAGCUCGUAGUUGAACCUUGGGCCUGGCUGGCCGGUCCGCCUCACCGCGUGCACUGGUCCGGCCGGGCCUUUCCCUCCGUGGAACCCCAUACCCUUCACUGGGCGUGGCGGGGAAACAGGACAUUUACUUUGAAAAAAUUAGAGUGCUCCAGGCAGGCCUAUGCUCGAAUACAUUAGCAUGGAAUAAUAAAAUAGGACGCGCGGUUCUAUUUUGUUGGUUUAUAGGACCGCCGUAAUGAUUAAUAGGGACAGUCGGGGGCAUCAGUAUUCAACUGUCAGAGGUGAAAUUCUUGGAUCAGUUGAAGACUAACUACUGCGAAAGCAUUUGCCAAGGAUGUUUUCAUUAAUCAGGAACGAAAGUUAGGGGAUCGAAGACGAUCAGAUACCGUCGUAGUCUUAACCAUAAACUAUGCCGACUGGGGAUCGGACGGUGUUUAUUUCAUGACCCGUUCGGCACCUUUACGAGAAAUCAAAGUGCUUUGGGCUCCAGGGGGAGUAUGGUCGCAAGGCUGAAACUUUAAAGAAAUUGACGGGAAGGCCACCACCAGGGGUGGGAGCCUGCGGCUUUAAUUUGACUCAACACGGGAAAACUCACCAGGUCCAGACACAAUAAGGAUUGACAGAUUGAGAGCUCUUUCUUGAUUUUUGUGGGUGGUGGGUGCAUGGCCGUUCUUAGUUGGUGGGGGUGACUUUGUCUGCUUAAUUGCGAUUAACGAACGAGACCUUAACCUGCUAAAAUAAGCCCGCAUUUGCUCCCGGCAGUUGCGCUGGCUGUCUUAAGAGGGGACUAUUUCGGUCUACAAGCGCGAAAGAGA